CACAGGCCAGAUGUACUAACGGUGUAGCAUUAUUUUGUGCAAGAAUGAACGAUGUUAACUCACAAGCGUAAGGAGUUCUUAGUGUCAGGCAUAAAUUCCAGGGUCUUGAACAAGAAAUUUGGUUCCAUCAGGAUCCGUGGAUUUAUUGCCUGGCGAGAUGGGUUGGCCUGGGAAAACCUUCUUGGAAAAGGCCUUGUAUUUGCUAAGGGGCCAUGAAAAUAUGAACCCAAAGCUUCACAGACUCAGAGAUCCGAGGGAGAGGAGGCGAGCCGCCAUUUUCCGACCGUCGCUCUCCCUGAAACAACGGAAAGAAAGAGAACCCCCCGAUUCGCGCCGGGGAGAGAGGGCACCCGCGCCGGAGCGAGCUCGGCACGCGGAUCACGGAGGCAAGGGGGAGACGGAGCCCCGCACAGCCCGCAGAGAAAGCCGGGGGUCGGAGGGGGACCCUGUUUUAAACCUUGCUCCGUAAUUUUUUUUUUCUCCUCUCUCUCUCUCUCCUCUGCGAGUCGGGCUUCUUGACUCGUCGUCGUUUCGCCCAUUUCGCGAUUCCGAGAGCAACACGGGCUCACCGACGCCGGAGCCCCGCCGGGAGCUGGUCGCCAAGGGGCCGGUGGGGACGGCGUGAGCCCGGUAAUUCAUUAUUUUUUUUUUACUAUUUUUUUUU
This 664-nucleotide long non-coding RNA is filed under the name Lepisosteus oculatus (spotted gar). RNAcentral's name for it is "lncRNA (ENSLOCG00000022306.1)". The record is from RNAcentral. Lineage: Eukaryota; Metazoa; Chordata; Actinopteri; Semionotiformes; Lepisosteidae.